This 86-nucleotide non-coding RNA is filed under the name Pseudomonas mohnii. The record is from RNAcentral. Lineage: Bacteria; Pseudomonadati; Pseudomonadota; Gammaproteobacteria; Pseudomonadales; Pseudomonadaceae.
UUUCAUAGUAGUUGCGCGCAGGGCGCCUUCGGGCGCGCCGGUUUGGUACUCCCAGGUCGACUAACCUGCGUACAGCUGCCACCCCU